Molecule: unclassified non-coding RNA, 286 nt
Filed under: air metagenome
Description: partial contains small subunit ribosomal RNA, internal transcribed spacer 1, and 5.8S ribosomal RNA
Rfam family: Eukaryotic small subunit ribosomal RNA (bases 1-46)
Source: RNAcentral
AAGUCGUAACAAGGUUUCCGUAGGUGAACCUGCGGAAGGAUCAUUAUCGAAUAGAUUGGGGCCCUGGGAGCGCCCCGCACCGACCCCUGCGGUCGCGAGCGGGCCUGCCUCGGCCCCACUUGUCCCAUAAAACACACCCCUGUGCACCUUCUCGGGUUUCUGUGGCGGGUGGAUGACGCACGCCGCAGCCCCGGACCUCUUACCACAAACACCUUUUUGAAUGAAUGUAUCUUUUUUUUAAAAAUGAAAAAAAAAACAACUUUCAACAACGGAUCUCUUGGCUCUC